AGGGUGGGUCUGUAUAACAAGUUAUUUACCAUUGUUUGCUGCUCACUACUUAAAAAAAUGGUGAUUACUGAUUACCCAUCAUUUGUUGUAGAUAAUGGAGAAAAUAGAGAGCGGCAUGCAAGAAUUCGAGGAAUCUGCAGAGAUGAACAGAGCCGAGAUUGAAGAGAACGAAAACAAGUUGGUGGAAUUCGAGGAUCAGAUAGUGAAGGAUCGUAAUGAAGGGAUGUUCUUUAAGAGCUUAGGUACGACGGCAGCACAGAAGGCGCCUAUUGACAAAGAUAAGGCCAUGGCAGAAGCGCAAAAGAUCAAAGCUUUGACCAAAGCAAAAGCUGAAUCAGCUACAAGGAGAAACAUUUACCUUGCUUUGAUUGCAUUGCUAGUGUUCACCAUAGCUGAAUCGUUCGCCGCUGGCCCGGAUUGGCGGAAAGUUGCGGUUCUUGGAGCAAUCUUGAUUGGUUUGAUAACUCAGGUGAGCUACGAGCAGAAGUUGUCAUCAGAUAUAGAAAAGUCGGAAAAGGAAGACAAAAAGGAGUAGCUUUGUUACAGUGAUAUGUAGCAUGAGUUAAUAGUCCCAAGUCGGAUGCUUUCGAGUUGGGGUUGAUAUGCUCAGCAGAAUUUCUCUAUAGCAUCAUCUUAGCUUGUAUCCUUGGUGUGUUACUUUAACACCAAGUCACAUGUAAACCGAAGUUACAAAGCUUGAUGCUUUAUCAAGUUUAUCAAGUUGUGAACGGGUCAUAGAUAUGCGUUCUGUAAUUUGUAAAUGCCAGCUCAUAGAUAUUUUGAAAAAUGCAUUACCAGUUUUUCCAUAUCGUUUCUGGAUUGGAUUGAUCAUAAACACAGUACACCUGGAAAAAGGAACAAAAGCUUGAAAGUUGAAGACUUGUAGGCUAUCAAGAGCCAACGAUUCAGGGAAAUGGAGUCAUGGUGGUGAAAAGUAAAGAAUUCUGGGCACAGAAGUCGAAUUUAGAGACCGGUAGCUUUGACAUCGGCCUUUGUCAAUUAUCAUGAGCUAAAACCUGAGAGGAAGGACGAGAGGCUGAGAACCAGAGAAGCAAAUCAACAAAACAACACGAUAUC
Molecule: long non-coding RNA, 1077 nt
Filed under: Linum usitatissimum (flax)
Lineage: Eukaryota; Viridiplantae; Streptophyta; Magnoliopsida; Malpighiales; Linaceae
Description: long non-coding RNA (LUSI_LNC002664)
Source: RNAcentral